RNAcentral lists this long non-coding RNA (381 nucleotides) under Homo sapiens (human). RNAcentral describes it as "family with sequence similarity 74 member A1 (ENSG00000215112.7)". Lineage: Eukaryota; Metazoa; Chordata; Mammalia; Primates; Hominidae. The record is from RNAcentral.
AUGUGGAGGGAGCUCAGAGGCUGUCCUGGAGGAGACGUGGAGACAGCUCAGAGGCUGUCCCAGAGAAGACGUGGAAAGAGCUCAGAGGCUGUCCCAGAGAAGACGUGGAGAGCUCAGAGGAUGUCCCAGAGAAGACGUGGAGAGAGUUCAGAGGCUGUCCCGGAGAAGACGUGGAAAGAGCUCAGAAACUCAGAGACUGUCCCGGAGAAGACAUGGAAACAGCUCAGACGCUGUCUGCAAGAAGAUGUGGAGAGAGUUCAGAGGCUGUCGUUACUGCUGCACUUGGCUGUUUUUCUUUGGAUAAUUAUUGCAAUCAAUUUUAGUAAUUCAGGUGUUAAAUCACAGUCAAGCACCUAUUUACCUAGUGGUGAGUUCCUUUAU